This 465-nucleotide ribosomal RNA is filed under the name uncultured bacterium. RNAcentral's name for it is "partial 16S ribosomal RNA". It matches the Rfam family "Bacterial small subunit ribosomal RNA", at positions 28 to 507 of the family's 1533-position model. The record is from RNAcentral.
GAUGAACGCUGGCGGCGUGCUUAACACAUGCAAGUCGAACGGAAAGGCUCCUGCUUGCAGGGGUACUCGAGUGGCGAACGGGUGAGUAACACGUGGGUGAUCUGCCCUGCACUUCGGGAUAAGCCUGGGAAACUGGGUCUAAUACCGGAUAGGACGAUGGUUUGGAUGCCAUUGUGGAAAGUUUUUCGGUGUGGGGUGAGCUCGCGGCCUAUCAACUUGUUGGUGGGGUAAUGGCCUACCAAGGCGUCGACGGGUAGCCGGCCUGAGAGGGUGUACGGCCACAUUGGGACUGAGAUACGGCCCAGACUCCUACGGGAGGCAGCAGUGGGGAAUAUUGCACAAUGGGCGCAAGCCUGAUGCAGCGACGCCGCGUGGGGGAUGACGGCCUUCGGGUUGUAAACUCCUUUCGCUAGGGACGAAGCGCAAGUGACGGUACCUGGAGAAGAAGCACCGGCUAACUACGUG